UCUAGUGAGAGCGCAGUGUUCAGUGAUGUCCGGGGACACUAUCUCACUGAUGAGUCUGUAUGGCCGGAGCCUGUGUGCACGUACGAUAGUCCUGGGACACACACCAACGCCGGAGCGCUUGGUGGCUGGGUACGGCAAAGAUUAAUAGUUCUCCAACAGCUAGGGCUCGGCACACGGAUGCACCACUAGAGCCACCACUAGCUGGUUCCACACUUAAUAUAAUCACACAAAUGUGCCCGAUGGGCGCGUGGAAUGCCAGACAACACCCAGGAGCUCGGAAGCUCCGCACUGAAAGGGGUGCUUCGGCUACGAAUCCUGACUCACUGCUAGCCAGAUCAACCACGCCAAAAGCUCACAAGCUGGAUAAUAACAGCAGCUUUGCGGCAAAUCAAAAGAAAAUAAGAACGCGACAAGUAGGCACUGAUGCCACGGAUGGCUGCCGCCGGAGGGUUGACGCGCCCGCGCUCCUCACGCUGGUCGGAACCAGGCGAAGAAGUAACUUGAGGUCGAUUAACACUGCGUAUUUACAGAGACUUAAAUGCUCGCAACAACGGUGGUACGACAGCAAGUGAACUCCAACAUACCGAGCAUCUGCACAACUCAGUCCCUCUCUCUCAAUAUCAUUUUAACGUCUCUUCGCUAAGGUAGCGAGUAGAGACAACCAAGAGCCAGCCAAACUACACCGACCCACCGGAGCCAAGAAACAACGAAGCGUACCCAGUAAUGGAAAACGAGGUAUGAAAUUUGUUUCCUUAUUGGCCAGCCUUUGCCCAGUCAUCGGCAUCUGGGCCGCAAGAGCGGUGUCGGCGGGUUGACCGGCUGAGAGAAGGCGCGACUGAAGGCGCUCCUUGCCUUCGUCGGGAUUUAAGCGACUAAUAGCGUCUUUGUCAUCUUAAUUCGUGCUAGUUUUGAGCAAUGGCUGAUAAGGAAAGCAUGCAAGCAUACUGGGUCAACCGACCCAUCAUAACAAGCAGCGACCGACGGACCAGUUAGACACACCUAGAAGAGCGACAAGUCAUCCUUGUGAAUGGUUCAUUGCAAUGAAGCGAAGGCAGAGAACCCGUCUCAGAGCCGGACCAAGUUCAUCGCAUCUGACUUUCCGACCUUGUUUGACUUGCUUGUAGUCGGCACCGGCGAGGCGCGUGAUUGAACGCGACGGGGAGGAGAUGAAUCCCCCAGACAGACCGGUG
This 1190-nucleotide long non-coding RNA is filed under the name Volvox carteri. RNAcentral describes it as "long non-coding RNA (VCAR_LNC003797)". Lineage: Eukaryota; Viridiplantae; Chlorophyta; Chlorophyceae; Chlamydomonadales; Volvocaceae. The record is from RNAcentral.